RNAcentral lists this ribosomal RNA (827 nucleotides) under uncultured marine bacterium. RNAcentral describes it as "bacterial SSU rRNA". It matches the Rfam family "Bacterial small subunit ribosomal RNA", at positions 36 to 912 of the family's 1533-position model. The record is from RNAcentral.
CUGGCGGCAGGCCUAACACAUGCAAGUCGAGCGCGCCUUCGGGUGAGCGGCGGACGGGUUAGUAACGCGUGGGAACGUGCCCUUCUCUACGGAAUAGCCUCUGGAAACGGAGAGUAAUACCGUAUACGCCCUUCGGGGGAAAGAUUUAUCGGAGAAGGAUCGGCCCGCGUUAGAUUAGGUAGUUGGUGGGGUAACGGCCUACCAAGCCUACGAUCUAUAGCUGGUUUUAGAGGAUGAUCAGCAACACUGGGACUGAGACACGGCCCAGACUCCUACGGGAGGCAGCAGUGGGGAAUCUUAGACAAUGGGGGCAACCCUGAUCUAGCCAUGCCGCGUGAGUGAUGAAGGCCUUAGGGUCGUAAAGCUCUUUCGCCUGUGAUGAUAAUGACAGUAGCAGGUAAAGAAACCCCGGCUAACUCCGUGCCAGCAGCCGCGGUAAUACGGAGGGGGUUAGCGUUGUUCGGAAUUACUGGGCGUAAAGCGCGCGUAGGCGGAUUAGAAAGUUGGGGGUGAAAUCCCGGGGCUCAACCUCGGAACUGCCUCCAAAACUGCUAGUCUAGAGUUCGAGAGAGGUGAGUGGAAUUCCGAGUGUAGAGGUGAAAUUCGUAGAUAUUCGGAGGAACACCAGUGGCGAAGGCGGCUCACUGGCUCGAUACUGACGCUGAGGUGCGAAAGUGUGGGGAGCAAACAGGAUUAGAUACCCUGGUAGUCCACACCGUAAACGAUGAAUGCCAGUCGUCGGGUAGUAUACUAUUCGGUGACACACCUAACGGAUUAAGCAUUCCGCCUGGGGAGUACGGUCGCAAGAUUAAAACUCAAAGGAAUUG